Molecule: ribosomal RNA, 474 nt
Filed under: uncultured bacterium
Lineage: Bacteria
Description: partial 16S ribosomal RNA
Rfam family: Bacterial small subunit ribosomal RNA (bases 20-299)
Source: RNAcentral
AACGAACGCUGGCGGCAUGCCUAACACAUGCAAGUCGAACGAGACCUUCGGGUCUAGUGGCGCACGGGUGCGUAACGCGUGGGAACCUGCCCUUAGGUUCGGAAUAACUCCCCGAAAGGGGUGCUAAUACCGGAUAAUGUCUUCGGACCAAAGAUUUAUCGCCUUUGGAUGGGCCCGCGUUGGAUUAGCUAGUUGGUAGGGUAAAAGCCUACCAAGGCGACGAUCCAUAGCUGGUCUGAGAGGAUGAUCAGCCACACUGGGACUGAGACACGGCCCAGACGAGAGAGGGAGGCAGGGGGGGAGAGGAUGGGAGGAUGGGGGAAAGCCAGAGCGGGGAGUAGUGUGGAAGUGAGGAGGGACUGGAGUUGUGAAAGCGCUUUUGCCGGGAAGACGAAUCGCGGGAGGGGAAGAAUGAGCGCCGGCGAACGCCGGGCCAGGAGCGGCGGUAAUAAGAGGAAGACCACCCUUCUGAGU